RNAcentral lists this ribosomal RNA (238 nucleotides) under uncultured bacterium. RNAcentral describes it as "partial 16S ribosomal RNA". It matches the Rfam family "Bacterial small subunit ribosomal RNA", at positions 15 to 244 of the family's 1533-position model. The record is from RNAcentral.
GAUCAUGGCUCAGGAUGAACGCUAGCGGCAGGCUUAACACAUGCAAGUCGAGGGGCGAGCAUUUUGGGUUAGCAAUACCUGAGAUGGCGACCGGCGCACGGGUGCGUAACGCGUAUGCAACCUACCCAUAACAGGGGCAUAACACUGAGAAAUCGGUACUAAUUCCCCAUAACAUUCGAAGAGGCAUCUUUUCGGGUUGAAAACUCCGGUGGUUAUGGAUGGGCAUGCGUUGUAUUAG